Molecule: long non-coding RNA, 480 nt
Filed under: Mytilus galloprovincialis (Mediterranean mussel)
Lineage: Eukaryota; Metazoa; Mollusca; Bivalvia; Mytilida; Mytilidae
Source: RNAcentral
UACACAAGUUGCAGGGAUUAAAUAAUGGUUACAUCAGCUGUGAAGCCCUUUUUUGUUUGCGGAUUGUUUGAAGUUUUACAACAAUUAUUGUACAAGGAAAAUUUUCAUCAACAUCUUCUUGGCUCCUAUAGAGGGUCAAUGGUUUAAAUAUUUGGUAAUGGAAUGAUAAGUUAUGCUCUGGAAUACAUGUUUUCCCAAUCUAAAAUUGAGAAUGGAAAUGGGGAAUGUGCCAAAGAGACAACAACCUGACCAUAGAAAAAAACAACAGCAGAAGGUCACCAACAGGUCUUCAAUGUAGCGAGAAAUUCCCGCACCCGGAGGCGUCCUUCAACUGGCCCCUAAACAAAUAUAUACUAGUUCAGUGAUAAUGAACGCCAUACUAAUUUCCAAAUUGUACACAAGAAACUAAAAUUAAAAUAAUACAAGACUAACUAGCAUGCAGCGACACAUGUCCAGACCUGGUAUUGGUCUUGUCAUUUG